GAUGAACGCUGGCGGCGUGCCUAAUACAUGCAAGUCGAGCGGACGGACGAGGAGCUUGCUUCUCUGAUGUUAGCGGAGGACGGGAGAGUAACACGUGGAUAACCUACCUAUAAGACGGGGAUAACUACGGGAAACCGGAGCUAAUACGGGAGAAUAUUUUGAACCACAUGGUUCAAAAGUGAAAGACGGUCGUGCUGUCACUUAUAGAGGGAUCCGGGCUGCAUGAGCUGGUUGUUAAGGUAACGGGCUACCAAGGGAACGAUGCAUAGCCGACCUGAGAGGGGGAUCGCCGACCCUGGAACUGAGCCAGCGUCAAGACGCCUACGGGAGGCAGCAGAAGGGUACCUGAGGCAGUGGGCGAAAGCAUGACGGAGCAGGGGCGAGUGAGAGGUGAAGGUCUUCGGAUCGUAAAACUCUGUUAUUAGGGAAGAACCGCUGUGUAAGUAACUGUGCACAGCGUGACGGUACCUAAUCAGAAAGCACCGGCUAACUACGUG
RNAcentral lists this ribosomal RNA (497 nucleotides) under uncultured bacterium. RNAcentral's name for it is "partial 16S ribosomal RNA". It matches the Rfam family "Bacterial small subunit ribosomal RNA", at positions 28 to 507 of the family's 1533-position model. The record is from RNAcentral.